This 482-nucleotide ribosomal RNA is filed under the name uncultured bacterium. Its description in RNAcentral is "partial 16S ribosomal RNA". It matches the Rfam family "Bacterial small subunit ribosomal RNA", at positions 30 to 507 of the family's 1533-position model. The record is from RNAcentral.
AUUGAACGCUGGCGGCAUGCUUUACACAUGCAAGUCGAACGGUAACAGGCCGCAAGGUGCUGACGAGUGGCGAACGGGUGAGUAAUGCAUCGGAACGUGCCCAGUCGUGGGGGAUAACUACUCGAAAGAGUAGCUAAUACCGCAUACGAUCUAUGGAUGAAAGCGGGGGACCGUAAGGCCUCGCGCGAUUGGAGCGGCCGAUGUCAGAUUAGGGAGUUGGUGGGGUAAAGGCUCACCAAGCCAACGAUCUGUAGCUGGUCUGAGAGGACGACCAGCCACACUGGGACUGAGACACGGCCCAGACUCCUACGGGAGGCAGCAGUGGGGAAUUUUGGACAAUGGGCGCAAGCCUGAUCCAGCAAUGCCGCGUGCAGGAAGAAGGCCUUCGGGUUGUAAACUGCUUUUGUACGGAACGAAACGGCUCUGGUUAAUACCCGGGGCUAAUGACGGUACCGUAAGAAUAAGCACCGGCUAACUACGUG